Molecule: unclassified non-coding RNA, 240 nt
Filed under: uncultured Rhizophydiales
Lineage: Eukaryota; Fungi; Chytridiomycota; Chytridiomycetes; Rhizophydiales
Description: sequence contains ITS1
Rfam family: 5.8S ribosomal RNA (bases 1-104)
Source: RNAcentral
GAAAUGCGAUACGUAAUGCGAAUUGCAGAACUCCGUGAAUCAUCAAAUCUUUGAACGCAUAUUGCGCCCGUUGGUAACCGACGGGCACACUUUUCUGAGUAUCUUUAUCCCAUCAAAUCGCCUACUUUGCCAAUUUAUUUUGAUAAAGUAUGGCGGAGUAUGAGAGUCACUAUGCCGUUAGCCAUAGUGUUUCUUUAAAGUCUAGACGGAAGGGCAAUCUAAUGAUCCAAUAUGAUGAGA